ACGCUGAGGAGCGAAAGCAUGGGGAGCGAACAGGAUUAGAUACCCUGGUAGUCCAUGCCGUAAACGUUGGGCACUAGGUGUGGGGGACAUUCCACGUUUUCCGCGCCGUAGCUAACGCAUUAAGUGCCCCGCCUGGGGAGUACGGCCGCAAGGCUAAAACUCAAAGGAAUUGACGGGGGCCCGCACAAGCGGCGGAGCAUGCGGAUUAAUUCGAUGCAACGCGAAGAACCUUACCAAGGCUUGACAUGGACCGGACCGGGCUGGAAACAGUCCUUCCCCUUUGGGGCCGGUUCACAGGUGGUGCAUGGUUGUCGUCAGCUCGUGUCGUGAGAUGUUGGGUUAAGUCCCGCAACGAGCGCAACCCUCGUUCCAUGUUGCCAGCGCGUAAUGGCGGGGACUC
This 400-nucleotide ribosomal RNA is filed under the name Renibacterium sp. RNAcentral describes it as "bacterial SSU rRNA". It matches the Rfam family "Bacterial small subunit ribosomal RNA", at positions 743 to 1140 of the family's 1533-position model. The record is from RNAcentral. Lineage: Bacteria; Bacillati; Actinomycetota; Actinomycetes; Micrococcales; Micrococcaceae.